Long non-coding RNA from Lytechinus pictus (painted urchin), 1469 nucleotides. RefSeq lists it as uncharacterized. The record is from RefSeq and is a predicted model, not a curated record. The transcript is spliced from 4 exons. NCBI's taxonomy places the organism in Eukaryota, Metazoa, Echinodermata, Echinoidea, Temnopleuroida, Toxopneustidae.
GAUCGGUAUCUGCGGCUGCUGAAAAAAUCAUGGAGACUCCAUAGAACGCUUAAAUAGUUGAGGUAUAUACACUGGAGCAACUCAAGUGCAUGUGUGACUUUUUGAGAAGAAACCACACAAGGCUGUUGGUUAGCAAUCACCAUGUAAAAGGGUUUGCAGAAACCAGACAGAGAGCCUGUGUGGAGAUGCUAUUGGCUGCCCAGGUCGGACUGCCUCCAACCUGAGGCGGUCUUGGAGUGAUCUAACAAAAGAGUGAAUGAUUAUGCUAGGAAUCAGACAAAGACUGCUUUCACAUAAGGCAGCCUGCUUCUGGACAUGGGGAAGCCAGAGGAGGAAAAGGUGGUUGAGGCGGAACCUCAAGCUGUUCCCGGGGCACCAUUGACAUCCAGGGUAGAUGGGGUCUAGUUGAUUUUUAGGACACCAAGAUGACACCCAGCAUAAGAGAAGAGAAGGUGCUCUUCCUGUUAUGACCAGCACACCAAGUACCAGGAGCAUGGAUCUGCAGCAAGUUCAGCAGGAGACGCUCAGAAUGCAGCAAGCUCUGCUGCAAACAUUUAAAAUCAUCCAUGUUGAUUUUUGUAAUUAUCCACAAUUGUUUGCAGCAGUUUGUUAAUGGAAAUCAGUAGUAACAUUAAACAAUGCAACUUUCUCUGCAUUUUUUUUUUACUGGAAACCUGUUGAAUAUUGUUUUAGAAAAUGAAGUAAAUCACCUUGAACUUUGGAAAUUUCAGAAAGCAUAUAUUUUAGCAAGUAAUAUGAAAAUGAGAUACCAUGGUCACAUUUGGUGGCCUUACGGCUAGUCGAAAUCAGUCGUUUUAUGUAUUACUAUACAAACCACCUACAUGAAGCUGGUACAAGGAUGAGUAAAAUGGCUGAUUUUGACUCGCCAUAAUGCCACCGGCUGGCAAAUGUGACCUAGACAUAAGUUGUUGAUGUCAUUGCCUCAUAAUUUUGAACAAAAAAAUGACAAAGACUACAUUCUUCAGGAUUGAGAAAGUUAAACUUGAACUUUAUUCUCAUCUCAGUAGAUAGAAGAUAAUGUUAUUCAUUCAAUACUGCGGUAGAAUUUGAACAAAUGCCUUGCAAUGCAAAAUAAAAAUUUAGGUUCUGAAAUCUUGAUGGGAAUCCCUGUGCAAGAACAGUUUUAAAGUUUAUUUAUACAUGUUCAUAUUGCAAGUCUGUUAUAUGAUCUGUCAGCAUUGUUUGUGGAUCUCACACUGGUGUCAUUAGCCAUAGUUCCAAUCUAUAUCCUGCAUUGCCCAACAGGAUGCCUUGCAAUUCGCCAUCUGCAAAACGUUUUCCAAUGGUACUUUUAUGUUGAUUUAAAAGAAAAGGGACCUUGUCAACAUUCAAUCACAUCUUUCAAUACGCAUAUAAGGGUAUGGGAUACUGUUAGCAUUGAAAUUAAAAUAUGACUUGAUAAAAAUUAUUUUCAAUUAAAUUCAAAGUAUUAUAAUGGUUCAUAACGA